RNAcentral lists this ribosomal RNA (495 nucleotides) under uncultured bacterium. RNAcentral describes it as "bacterial SSU rRNA". It matches the Rfam family "Bacterial small subunit ribosomal RNA", at positions 28 to 533 of the family's 1533-position model. The record is from RNAcentral.
GACGAACGCUGGCGGCGUGCUUAACACAUGCAAGUCGAACGGUCCUGUUUUUGAAGCGCUUCGGCGUGGAGGGAGCGGGUUAGUGGCGCACGGGUGAGUAAUGCGCGAGGACCUGCCCGCGGGAGGGGGACAGCAGUUGGAAACGGCUGGUGAUACCCCGUAAGCCGGGAGGUAAAAGGGCGGAGACGCCCGCCUGCGGAUGGACUCGCGUCCUAUCAGCUAGUUGGUGAGGCAACGGCUCACCAAGGCGACGACGGGUAGCCGGCCUGAGAGGGUGUCCGGCCACACUGGAACUGAGACACGGUCCAGACUCCUACGGGAGGCAGCAGUGGGGAAUUUGGGCAAGUGGGGGAGACCCUGACCCAGCGACGCCGCGUGAGGGACGAAGGCCUUGGGUCGUAAACCUCUUUUGCGAGGGGAAGAAGAAGAUGACGGUACCUUGCGAACAAGUCCCGGCUAACUACGUGCCAGCAGCCGACGGUAAAAGUGUGUGUA